UUGUUCCAAUUUUGUAUGUUGUUUUUGUUGUUGUUGUAGUUGGGGGUCGAGCGGUGUUGGAACCGCCAGGGCCCGUUGCGCCCCGCGCCUGGAUUGGGUUCCCGUCGGGGUCAGUGUGACCACCAUCGUUCCCCCUGUCCUCGACUGCGGUUUGCCCAGCCCCGACAGUGGUGGUGCUCGACUCCCCCGAGGCAUUAGGGUUGCGAUCGGGGGCCGAUACCUGCCCGCUCGCCUGUUUGCCAGCGGAACAGCCAGGGGUUGCGCCAGUGUCCGCAAAAGGCCGGCCGCCACUUAGUGGGGGUCGUCCCUCGCUUCCACCUUUGCUUCCUCCAGCCAAGUUGCUGGCGUCCGCGCUUGGGCAGUCGGGUUCCUUUCGCUUCCCGCCUCCGUUUUCCCUACCGUCCGUCGGUCGGUUUUUCAAUUUGUCCGUCUGUUCGUCUGCCUGUGUGUUCGUUUGUUUUCGUGUCCGUCUGUCUGUCCUGUUCCCCUUGUUUUUCCGUCUUUGCUUGGGGGCCACAAGCGUCCAUGUGCUUGCGCUGGCAGGCACAGGGAUCGCUGCGGCUAGGGAGGACAUGUCCAUGUUACUAGCCGAGGUCGUUGUUUCCAUCAUUGUCGAACCGAUGGUUUGCGGGUCUUUGCCCCCUCCUGAUACGGUGGGGCAGCCUGGGCCCUGGGCGCCGUCGGUAGACGUCG
Long non-coding RNA from Maniola jurtina (meadow brown), 693 nucleotides. RefSeq lists it as uncharacterized. The transcript is spliced from 3 exons. NCBI's taxonomy places the organism in Eukaryota, Metazoa, Arthropoda, Insecta, Lepidoptera, Nymphalidae. The record is from RefSeq and is a predicted model, not a curated record.